UACGUAGGGUGCAAGCGUUGUCCGGAAUUAUUGGGCGUAAAGAGCUCGUAGGCGGUCUGUUGCGUCGGCUGUGAAAACCCGGGGCUCAACCCCGGGCCUGCAGCCGAUACGGGCAGACUAGAGUUCGGCAGGGGAGACUGGAAUUCCUGGUGUAGCGGUGAAAUGCGCAGAUAUCAGGAGGAACACCGGUGGCGAAGGCGGGUCUCUGGGCCGAUACUGACGCUGAGGAGCGAAAGCGUGGGGAGCAAACGGG
This 253-nucleotide ribosomal RNA is filed under the name uncultured bacterium. RNAcentral's name for it is "partial 16S ribosomal RNA". It matches the Rfam family "Bacterial small subunit ribosomal RNA", at positions 524 to 776 of the family's 1533-position model. The record is from RNAcentral.